Molecule: transfer RNA, 74 nt
Filed under: Opitutaceae bacterium
Lineage: Bacteria; Pseudomonadati; Verrucomicrobiota; Opitutia; Opitutales; Opitutaceae
Also listed under: 3 other names
Description: tRNA-Gly
Rfam family: tRNA
About the family: Transfer RNA (tRNA) molecules are approximately 80 nucleotides in length. Their secondary structure includes four short double-helical elements and three loops (D, anti-codon, and T loops).
Source: RNAcentral
GCGGGCGUAGUUUAAUGGUAAAACUCCAGUUUUCCAAACUGGCCUCGGGGGUUCGAUUCCCCCCGCCCGCUCCA